CGUAGGUGGCGAGCGUUAUCCGGAAUUAUUGGGCGUAAAGAGCGCGCAGGUGGUUGAUUAAGUCUGAUGUGAAAGCCCACGGCUUAACCGUGGAGGGUCAUUGGAAACUGGUCGACUUGAGUGCAGAAGAGGGAAGUGGAAUUCCAUGUGUAGCGGUGAAAUGCGUAGAGAUAUGGAGGAACACCAGUGGCGAAGGCGGCUUCCUGGUCUGUAACUGACGCUGAGGCUCGAAAGCGUGGGGAGCAAACAGGGAUUAGAUA
RNAcentral lists this ribosomal RNA (260 nucleotides) under uncultured prokaryote. RNAcentral describes it as "partial 16S ribosomal RNA". It matches the Rfam family "Bacterial small subunit ribosomal RNA", at positions 526 to 784 of the family's 1533-position model. The record is from RNAcentral.